GUGUCAGCCGCCGCGGUAAUACGUAGAUGGCAAGCGUUGUCCGGAUUUAUUGGGCGUAAAGCGAGCGCAGGCGGUUCUUUAAGUCUGAUGUGAAAGCCCCUGGCUCAACCAGGGAGGGUCAUUGGAAACUGGAGAACUUGAGUGCAGAAGAGGAAAGUGGAAUUCCAUGUGUAGCGGUGAAAUGCGUAGAUAUAUGGAGGAACACCAGUGGCGAAGGCGACUUUCUGGUCUGUAACUGACGCUGAGGCUCGAAAGCAUGGGGAGCAAACAGGAUUAGAUACCCUGGUAGUCCAUGCCGUAAACGAUGAGUGCUAAGUGUUGGAGGGUUUCCGCCCUUCAGUGCUGCAGCUAACGCAUUAAGCACUCCGCCUGGGGAGUACGACCGCAAGGUUGAAACUUAAAUGAAUUGACGGGG
Molecule: ribosomal RNA, 415 nt
Filed under: uncultured prokaryote
Description: bacterial SSU rRNA
Rfam family: Bacterial small subunit ribosomal RNA
Source: RNAcentral